CCUACGGGGUGCAGCAGGCGCGAAAACUUUACAAUGCCGGCAACGGCGAUAAGGGGACCUCGAGUGCCAGGUUACAAAUCUGGCUGUCGUGAUGCCUAAAAAGCAUUGCAUAGCAAGGGCCGGGCAAGACCGGUGCCAGCCGCCGCGGUAA
This 151-nucleotide ribosomal RNA is filed under the name uncultured archaeon. Its description in RNAcentral is "partial 16S ribosomal RNA". It matches the Rfam family "Archaeal small subunit ribosomal RNA", at positions 322 to 473 of the family's 1478-position model. The record is from RNAcentral.